This 468-nucleotide ribosomal RNA is filed under the name uncultured bacterium. RNAcentral's name for it is "partial 16S ribosomal RNA". It matches the Rfam family "Bacterial small subunit ribosomal RNA", at positions 28 to 507 of the family's 1533-position model. The record is from RNAcentral.
GACGAACGCUGGCGGCGUGCUUAACACAUGCAAGUCGAACGGAAAGGCCCUGCUUUUGUGGGGUGCUCGAGUGGCGAACGGGUGAGUAACACGUGAGUAACCUGCCCUUGACUUUGGGAUAACUUCAGGAAACUGGGGCUAAUACCGGAUAGGAGCUCCUGCUGCAUGGUGGGGGUUGGAAAGUUUCGGCGGUUGGGGAUGGACUCGCGGCUUAUCAGCUUGUUGGUGGGGUAGUGGCUUACCAAGGCUUUGACGGGUAGCCGGCCUGAGAGGGUGACCGGCCACAUUGGGACUGAGGUACGGCCCAGACUCCUACGGGAGGCAACAGUGGGGAAUAUUGCACAAUGGGCGGAAGCCUGAUGCAGCAACGCCGCGUGCGGGAUGACGGCCUUCGGGUUGUAAACCGCUUUCGCCUGUGACGAAGCGUGAGUGACGGUAAUGGGUAAAGAAGCACCGGCUAACUACGUG